UUUUUGCCUCCUUGUUUCUUUUCAGUUUCUUCUUUGUGGUCUUGUAUUCUCGAUUUGUUUUGUCAAUUCUUUUCCAAUUAGUUCAUAUUGAUUGUGUGAGGUACGUAUUUCGGUGUAAGUUUGAAAGUUUCCAUGAGUGAGUUUUUCGUAAGCUUAUUUGAAUGUUUCUAUUGUUAAAUUACUGGGGUUAAUGGAUGUUUCGCAAUUUCAGUUGGGUGAGGAGUGUGGAUUACCGUGUCCUUCGAGGAAUUGAUUGUUGUUGGCUAAUAUUUUUGGAACGGUAAGUGUUUAUUCCCCAAUGUGGAGGUUAAUUUUCUCCAUAAUUCAAG
RNAcentral lists this long non-coding RNA (329 nucleotides) under Gossypium raimondii (Peruvian cotton). Its description in RNAcentral is "long non-coding RNA (GRAI_LNC000475)". The record is from RNAcentral. Lineage: Eukaryota; Viridiplantae; Streptophyta; Magnoliopsida; Malvales; Malvaceae.